AGAAAAUGCAGAUAUUCUGAUGAUGACUGAUGAUGUAAUUAUUGUCUUUUUUGAGUCACCAGAGCCAGAAAAUCUAAAAUCCCACAUAAAAUGGCUUGAAAGAAAAGGCCGGGGGCUCAUCAGGUUUUGCUCUUAAGCUGCUUUAAAAAGCAAAGCCUACGUAAAACAGAGAAAUGACUGCUUUUGGUAACUGGCAUCACUAACGCAGUUGCAUAGCUGUAAUCAGCUUUCCUGUUGCUCUGCUUCUCACAUAAAGAAGAUUGGUUUUUAAUUUUCAACCUAAGCUUUUUUACAAUACAUCAAUAGAUUAAAAUAACAAUGUGCUCACUACCAUUACUUAAGCGAUACCUACAGGCCUAUGCAGGAAUUAGCAGUCCAGCCGUAAUGCUUCAAUAAUAUGUUUAGACUGUCACAGUGCAACCUAAAUGCACACCACUGUAUUGCCAACAAUGAGAGGCAAAGUUAUCCUGCCAACACAACUGAGAAAUCAGAAAAAUAGCAAGUGAGAAUCCACAAAUGAAGGUCUUGUGGUUAGUUUAGGGGUCAUAUUUCCAGGACUCAUAGCUGUUCCCAGCACUGCACACAAUGUCUUGAGUUUGAAAUAUAACCUAUACGUUUAGUAUAUUACUUUACACAGGAAUAAUUAAAUAUCAUUAGGAUGAGGAAUAGGGCCAGAAUUCAUGUUUUUUAGGAGGUGAUUUGGCUGUAGAUGCUAAUUUUCAGCAAACAGAUCUUCAAAGCUGCAGCACUGUUAUAGUGCUCCGGCUGUUAUUAUAGAGCUAUGAUUUUAAUAUGCAAUUAUCAUAAUGUCUCUUAUCCCUCUAUGCCACAGAAUCUAAUUAGGCCUUAUCUGUAUCAGCUCCACUCCGACAACUCAUCAGAGCUGAAGGUGUUUAAGAAUAUUAGGUUGGAAAACCAGGUCAUUCAAGACAAAAAUGUUGGCUCGCGUUUCGUUUUGGUAAAUGUUCUUUGCAGGAGAAUCUGCCUGUGGCUCGACGAGGACGUGAGGACAAGGGCACGAACCUUCAUCCACAUUACAAGGAACGGCUCUCGGAAAUUGGCCUGAAUGCAAGGCACAUCUGAAAGGCAAAUGAAAGCAGCUGCUCUUCUCAUAUCCUAGGCAACCUAAGGGUACCCAAGGUUUGGAUUUUCACAAUAAAAGCUGGUUGAUUUCAUUCUUCUGAAGAAUCCCCGACAAUAAUUGCUGGCUGCCGCAUUUCCAAUAGAAUUUGACUUGGCUGUCCACCGCUUCUAUUCAGCUUUUGGGUAAAU
Molecule: long non-coding RNA, 1272 nt
Organism: Gasterosteus aculeatus aculeatus (three-spined stickleback)
Lineage: Eukaryota; Metazoa; Chordata; Actinopteri; Perciformes; Gasterosteidae
Source: Ensembl